Molecule: long non-coding RNA, 1973 nt
Filed under: Lytechinus variegatus (green sea urchin)
Lineage: Eukaryota; Metazoa; Echinodermata; Echinoidea; Temnopleuroida; Toxopneustidae
Description: uncharacterized LOC121428470
Source: RNAcentral
UCGGUCCCUAUUUCAUGUACGAGUUUGAUAAAUGAAGAAUCUGCAUUUUCCAUGAGAUGGCUUUGCUGGGCCAUACGUCAUCAUCCCCUGUCCGCCAUCAUCGACGCACAGCAUGUGGUCGAGUUCAUUCCCUCUACUCGGUGCUCCAGAUGAUACGAGAUCAUGACGAUGCAUAGAUGAUGCCACCUCCACUGUUGCCAUGGUGACCGUCAUCCCCAUCGGUGAGAUUGCAGAUGAGAUGCUGAUGAUAAGACGCUGCUGCUGCUGCUGUUUGCUUUGAGGGUGUCCUUUUCAGCAUGAAUGUCCACUUUAUUUGACAUUACGAGAUUUCCUGCGAUGUUAUCCUACUCAUCCUAUCACCCAGCAGAUGUAAUCGAGUCAAACAAUAAGGAUCCUCAUGACCUGAAGCAUUACCGACGCCAUUUUGAAUCAUCUGAUGCGAUAUCUUCACAGGGCUUUGUGCGCAUAGGCACAAUGAACUCAAAAUUAGCAGAGAAAUUAUGCGAAGAAACGGGGAAUAUGCUUUUAAGUCACCCAUUAUCCAUCGAUCCUGCGUAUAUUCAUUAGAGCCUAUUCAGUGUCAUAUCAUGAGUCAUUAUUGUAAUAAGACACCCAACGCCUCCAUAAAUCCUUAAAGAGAAAUUACGAGUUUUAAAUAGAACGGCAAGAUUGGAUAUAAUUGAUGUGCUCUAUGCUGAGAAAGUAGGGUUGUAUUGUGCUAGAAGUAGGAAAUUUCUCCCAUCAAAGUUUGUUAUUAGCUUGCUAUGAACGUCCGGUACCAAAGAGCAAAAUUGUACUCGUACCGAAUGGAUCAUGGAUGGAGAAAGAUAACACAAUAUUUAUGCCUGUAUGCAUCGCUUGCACAAAUCCGACAUUCAGUCGUUCAGAAAACGAGUCAAUUUAUCAUUCAGUUGUUGAAAAUAUGAGUUAGGUUAUAUGCACCAGUGUUAAAUAUGCUUUAUAAAGCAACUUCAGAUCUAGGAUUCAUCUUUUAAGAAGGAUGGGAAGGGAUGUUAGAGCCUAAGCUAGUGGUUGGUAUGGUAACGUGCAUCCCUGAUGUACACCAACCUCGCUGUGGGAGAUACCUUUCUCGCACAGACGGUGAUGAGAUGUCUUAUACCCCCUAGUGGAAUAAUGAAUUAUUACUGAAUUGAGUAGUGAUUGUGGUCAACAUAUAUGCAUUGUAGUUUACUGUUUGGAGGCUGCAUGCAUGUCCAUGUAUAUCAAGACAAUUGACGUAUCUCCCAAAAGCAUGUAUGACGCUUGUUCUAUCAGCAUACAUCCCCACCCCCAGGAUGUAUCCAGCGUUGACCAUGAUGCAUUUUGAUAGCUCCUGAAUAUUGUGACCAUUGAUGUUGGUGACGUAGCUUAAAACCCACUUCGUUUCUAUCAUGAUUAUACACGGUUAUCACAUCAACAUAAACUCGUUCUCAUCCAUACUCGUUAUUAUACGAUGUGUCUGCUAUAUACCGGCCCAGUCCUCUGUGAUUUGGUAUUUUAAAAUUUGUCUGUCAAGGUGAUUUCACAUACAUGUUCAUGUUAUUUUGGUAAUUACUUUGAUACACGUCCCAUUAUGAUAAUGGGGAAUUGCUUAUAAAACAAUCUACAAUAAAUGAGUAAUGAUCCAAACGGGGAUCAGUGAUAUGAAUUGAACACGUGAUUAAUUCAUGAUUGGCGAAAGUGAAUGAUAUUCAUAGUUCACAAUGAUUACCCCAUGAGGGGGUAAUUGAAUUCCGAUAGGAAUAAUUGAUUUGCAGGUAUAGGAAUUGAUCAUGCCUGCAGCUAAUGGGAAAUAUAACGUAAAUACAUUGGAAUUUGAUCGUGUCAUUUUGUUGAAACUACGCCGAAAUUAUUAUGCUUUUCAUCAUGUUCGGGGUACAAUAUUUUGAGUUCGAUAUCAUUCAAUGAGAACGUGUCCGUUAUUCAAAUCUGUAACAUUUAUAUUUCAUUGUUAAACUCAAAGGGGAAGUUCA